RNAcentral lists this ribosomal RNA (464 nucleotides) under uncultured bacterium. RNAcentral describes it as "partial 16S ribosomal RNA". It matches the Rfam family "Bacterial small subunit ribosomal RNA", at positions 28 to 507 of the family's 1533-position model. The record is from RNAcentral.
GACGGACGCUGGCGGCGUGCCUAACACAUGCAAGUCGAGCGAAUGAAGUUCCUUCGGGAAUGGAUUUAGCGGCGGACGGGUGAGUAACACGUGGGCAACCUGCCUCAUAGAGGGGAAUAGCCUUCCGAAAGGGAGAUUAAUACCGCAUAAGAUUGUAGUAUCGCAUGAUACAGCAAUUAAAGGAGCAAUCCGCUAUGAGAUGGGCCCGCGGCGCAUUAGCUAGUUGGUGAGGUAACGGCUCACCAAGGCGACGAUGCGUAGCCGACCUGAGAGGGUGAUCGGCCACAUUGGGACUGAGACACGGCCCAGACUCCUACGGGAGGCAGCAGUGGGGAAUAUUGCACAAUGGGGGAAACCCUGAUGCAGCAACGCCGCGUGAGUGAUGACGGCCUUCGGGUUGUAAAGCUCUGUCUUCAGGGACGAUAAUGACGGUACCUGAGGAGGAAGCCACGGCUAACUACGUG